RNAcentral lists this transfer RNA (77 nucleotides) under Escherichia coli. Its description in RNAcentral is "tRNA-Arg". It matches the Rfam family "tRNA". From Rfam's summary of the family: Transfer RNA (tRNA) molecules are approximately 80 nucleotides in length. Their secondary structure includes four short double-helical elements and three loops (D, anti-codon, and T loops). Lineage: Bacteria; Pseudomonadati; Pseudomonadota; Gammaproteobacteria; Enterobacterales; Enterobacteriaceae. The record is from RNAcentral.
CCGCCAUUAGCUCAUCAGGAUGGAGCGCCAGCCUUCGAAGCCGGUUGCGCGGGAUUCGAGUCCUCGAUGGCGGCCCA